UCUUGCGCGAUGGGCGAAAGCCUGACGCAGCCAUGCCGCGUGAAUGAUGAAGGUCUUAGGAUUGUAAAAUUCUUUCACCGGGGAAGAUAAUGACGGUACCCGGAGAAGAAGCCCCGGCUAACUUCGUGCCAGCAGCCGCGGUAAUACGAAGGGGGCUAGCGUUGCUCGGAAUUACUGGGCGUAAAGGGCGCGUAGGCGGACAGUUAAGUCAGAAGUGAAAGCCCAGGGCUCAACCUUGGAAUUGCCUUUGAUACUGGCUGUCUUGAGUUCGGGAGAGGUGAGUGGGAUGCCGAGUGUAGAGGUGAAAUUCGUAGAUAUUCGGCGGAACACCAGUGGCGAAGGCGACUCACUGGCCCGAUACUGACGCUGAGGCGCGA
This 377-nucleotide ribosomal RNA is filed under the name uncultured bacterium. RNAcentral's name for it is "bacterial SSU rRNA". It matches the Rfam family "Bacterial small subunit ribosomal RNA", at positions 362 to 756 of the family's 1533-position model. The record is from RNAcentral.